CCCUUAGAUGUUCUGGGCCGCACGCGUGUUACACUGAUGCGUUCAUCAAGCACCACACCUUGGCUCGAGAGGCCUGGGUAAUCUUGAAAUCGCAUCGUGCUGGGGAUAGAUUAUUGUAAUUUUUAAUCUUCAACGAGGAAUUUCUAGUAGGCGUUUGUCAUCAACAAGCACCGAUUACGUCCCUGUCCUUUGUACACACCGCCCGUCGCUACUACCGAUUGGAUCAUUUGGUGAGGCCCGCGGACUGUUGUGCUUUCUUCCUCGUGUUGAUCGCACUUCUUGGGAAGCGGUACGAACCUGAUGAUCUAGAGGAAGUAAAAGUCGUAACA
Molecule: ribosomal RNA, 329 nt
Filed under: uncultured eukaryote
Lineage: Eukaryota
Description: partial 18S ribosomal RNA
Rfam family: Eukaryotic small subunit ribosomal RNA
Source: RNAcentral